This is an unclassified non-coding RNA of Callithrix jacchus (white-tufted-ear marmoset), 297 nucleotides long. It matches the Rfam family "Metazoan signal recognition particle RNA". Rfam says of the family: The signal recognition particle (SRP) is a universally conserved ribonucleoprotein. It is involved in the co-translational targeting of proteins to membranes. The record is from Ensembl. NCBI's taxonomy places the organism in Eukaryota, Metazoa, Chordata, Mammalia, Primates, Cebidae.
AGGUGCGGUGGCACGUGCCUGUAGUCCCAGCUACUCGGAAGGCUGAGGUGGGAGGAUCACGUGAGCCCAGGAGUCCUGGGCUGUAGUGCACUAUGCAGAUCGGGUGUCCGCACUAAGUUCAGCAUCAAUAUGGUGACCUCCCGGGAGCAAGGGACCACCAGGUUGCCUAAGGAGGGGUGAACUGGCCCAGGUCAGAAGCGGAGCAGGUCGAAACUCCAGCGCUGAUCGGUAGUGGGAACGCACCUGUGAAUAGCCACUGCACUGCAGCCUGGGCAACAUAGCGAGACCCCAUCUCUU